This 326-nucleotide unclassified non-coding RNA is filed under the name Bullera alba. RNAcentral's name for it is "sequence contains ITS1". The stretch from base 1 to 105 matches the Rfam family "5.8S ribosomal RNA", at positions 50 to 154 of the family's 154-position model. Lineage: Eukaryota; Fungi; Basidiomycota; Tremellomycetes; Tremellales; Bulleraceae. The record is from RNAcentral.
GAAAUGCGAUAAGUAAUGUGAAUUGCAGAAUUCAGUGAAUCAUCGAAUCUUUGAACGCACCUUGCGCCUUUUGGUAUUCCGAAAGGCAUGCCUGUUUGAGUGUCAUGAAAUAUCAACCCCUCCUGGUUUCUGAUCAGUGUUGGGCUUGGACUUGGGUGUCUGCCAGUUCGCUGGCUCGCCUUAAAAGAGUUAGUGGUAAUAACAUCCACGGCUAAGACGUAAUAAGUUUCGUCUGGUCAAGGUGUGACGACUGCUCAUAACCCGACCGCAAGGUCAUUAUUUUAUGCUCUGACCUCAAAUCAGGUAGGACUACCCGCUGAACUUAA